Molecule: ribosomal RNA, 236 nt
Filed under: uncultured bacterium
Lineage: Bacteria
Description: partial 16S ribosomal RNA
Rfam family: Bacterial small subunit ribosomal RNA
Source: RNAcentral
AUUGAACGCUGGCGGCAUGCCUAACACAUGCAAGUCGAACGCGAAAGUCCUUCGGGGCGAGUAGAGUGGCGGACGGGUGAGUAACGCGUGGGAAUCUACCCUGUAGUGGGGGACAACCCGGGGAAACUCGGGCUAAUACCGCAUACGUCCUANGGGAGAAAGAGGGCCUCUGUUUGCAAGCUCUCGCUAUGGGAUGAGCCCGNGUCCGAUUAGCUAGUUGGUANGGUAAAGGCCUA